AAUUCCAGAUUGAACUUGAACUUCAGGGACUUAGGAUGGGGGAACAAUGGACCAUAGGAAUCAAUAAUGUCCAUUUUCCACAUGAUUAUGUUUGGAGCUUUAAGUUAACCUUUAUGGGAGAAGCAGCAGGAUCUGCAGUGUGACGAAAAUGAGAUGAUCCUGAGACAAGAUGUUAGAGGAAAGAAAACAACUUUUUUCCGUGAGAUUUUCUGAGCAGGACUGCAGAUUCCAGCAGGAUUAGAAAAGUUCCCGCUCUGCAGUAAACCGGUGGCCUGUUCAGAGCACUCUUUGUUCGCUUAGGCUAGCCUCAUCUGAAGUGGAACUCAACAAACAAAUUAUUGACGUACAGCCACAUCUGCACAUAUGUAAGACAAAAGCAAAUACUGCAUUCAGCUGAAAAGCAACUGGAAUUGGAGAAAUAAAGCACAGUUAUUUGUGCUGAAUUUUGGGUUCAAGAGUUAUACUUCCACAGGAAUUUCAUUGUGAUGUGAACCUCAAUUCACAAAGUCUCUUGUAGAAUUCAGUGGUAAUAUAACUCCUAGUCC
This 545-nucleotide small RNA is filed under the name Pongo abelii (Sumatran orangutan). RNAcentral's name for it is "processed transcript". Lineage: Eukaryota; Metazoa; Chordata; Mammalia; Primates; Hominidae. The record is from RNAcentral.